RNAcentral lists this ribosomal RNA (468 nucleotides) under uncultured bacterium. Its description in RNAcentral is "partial 16S ribosomal RNA". It matches the Rfam family "Bacterial small subunit ribosomal RNA", at positions 28 to 507 of the family's 1533-position model. The record is from RNAcentral.
GACGAACGCUGGCGGCGUGCUUAACACAUGCAAGUCGAACGGAAAGGCCCUGCUUUUGUGGGGUGCUCGAGUGGCGAACGGGUGAGUAACACGUGAGUAACCUGCCCUUGACUUUGGGAUAACUUCAGGAAACUGGGGCUAAUACCGGAUAGGAGCUCCUGCUGCUUGGUGGGGGUUGGAAAGUUUAGGCGGUUGGGGAUGGACUCGGGGCUUAUCAGCUUGUGGGGGGGGUAGUGGCUUACCAAGGCUUUGACGGGUAGCCGGCCUGAGAGGGUGACCGGCCACAUUGGGACUGAGAUACGGCCCAGACUCGUACGGGAGGCAGCAGUGGGGAGUAUUGCACAAUGGGCGGAAGCGUGAGGCAGCAACGCCGCGUGCGGGAUGACGGCCUUCGGGUUGUAAACCGCUUUAGCCUGUGACGAAGCGUGAGUGACGGUAAUGGGUAAAGAAGCACCGGCUAACUACGUG